CAGGUACUGCCUGCGUUCAGGGUCUGCUGUUUUCUGUAAGGACAUUCCACACUGCACCAUAUAUAUACUCUCUCAGCAGUCGGCUCACUACAAUUCCUGCCUGCGACAGAGACAGAAAAAGACUUGGAAAGACAAAUAGAAUAAAUACUGUAAAGACUGUGAAGAUGAUCUCAUCAAAGGAAUGCUGGUUAUUGAAUAUGGGAGUGAACCAAUUCCACCCUCCUACUAUGACUUUGACAUUGCGCUUGAGGCGAACGCUGUGAUUCGUCUCCUAUUUGAUCUGCCCAGCACUUUCAUGACUCUGAUGGGAGUGAUGUAUGUGCUAAACCUCAACUAUCCCAAGGAGGUAAAAUACAUUUUUGAAAUAAUCCAGCAUCUUUUCUUGGGAAUUGGAAUUGACUCAUGUUCUGCUAGGGUCCAUUCCCUGACCCUAAAAUACACUUUUCAAGUGAAGCAACUGAGUUCAUAUGAACCAAAUACUGCUAUGUUUUUGUCCUUUGAAGAAAAACUUUGUCUUUUCAUGUCAGGUUGAUUUAAAGAUAAGGUAGAAGUGGAAUAUUAUUGUAACUGUUGCUUCUUGGGGUUUCUCACAAGGCAUUAUUGAAUGAUCUGUUCUUAAAUCUCUGACAACAUUGAAUUCUGAUACCCUGUUCAUAUUGUAUUUUCUGUUUUCAUCAACUGCAAUGUUAUGGACGUGCUAUAAAAACUGAAAUGAAAGACACCAACAUGUAUAAAAGGUUCAGUUCCUAUCAUAUCAAACAUUUCACUUUUGAGGAGUUUUAAAGAGGUGUGGGUAGAUAUACAGAAACCAAAGUGCACUAGUUUACUCAUAGAUUCUUGUUAGUAAACUGCGUAUCUUUAAAUGUCAAUGUAAGUGUAUUUUUUGCAUUCGUUGUUACUUGCUUAAAUAUUUUCAACCUUGUUUAAACAAAUUUUACAGAGACAUUUGAAAAUGUUUAACAGCUUUUGGUCUUAGAAAAACAUAAGA
Girardinichthys multiradiatus is the source of this 988-nucleotide long non-coding RNA. RefSeq lists it as uncharacterized. NCBI's taxonomy places the organism in Eukaryota, Metazoa, Chordata, Actinopteri, Cyprinodontiformes, Goodeidae. The record is from RefSeq and is a predicted model, not a curated record. The transcript has 3 exons.